This 477-nucleotide ribosomal RNA is filed under the name uncultured bacterium. RNAcentral's name for it is "partial 16S ribosomal RNA". It matches the Rfam family "Bacterial small subunit ribosomal RNA", at positions 28 to 507 of the family's 1533-position model. The record is from RNAcentral.
GAUUAACGCUGGCGGCGUGCAUAACACAUGCAAGUCGAACGAUGAAACUUUAAUGAACCCUUCGGGGAGAAUUAAAGCGGAUUAGUGGCGAACGGGUGAGUAACGCGUGAGUAACCUGCCUUACACAAGGGGAUAGCCUUUGGAAACGAAGAAUAAUACCCUAUAAAACCAUAAAAGCACAUGCAAUUAUGGUCAAAGUGAUAGCGGUGUAAGAUGGACUUGCGUCUGAUUAGCUAGUUGGUGAGAUAAAAGCCCACCAAGGCAACGAUCAGUAGCCGGCUUGAGAGAGUGUACGGCCACAUUGGGACUGAGACACGGCCCAGACUCCGACGGGAGGCAGCAGUGGGGAAUUUUGCACAAUGGGGGAAACCCUGAUGCAGCGACGCCGCGUGAUUUAGAAGGCCUUCGGGUUGUAAAAAUCUUUUGUAUAGGAAGAAAAUGACAGUACUAUACGAAUAAGGUCCGGCUAAUUACGUG